This 253-nucleotide ribosomal RNA is filed under the name uncultured bacterium. Its description in RNAcentral is "partial 16S ribosomal RNA". It matches the Rfam family "Bacterial small subunit ribosomal RNA", at positions 524 to 776 of the family's 1533-position model. The record is from RNAcentral.
UACGUAGGGACCAAGCGUUGUUCGGAUUUACUGGGCGUAAAGGGCGCGUAGGCGGCGUGGUAAGUCACUUGUGAAAUCUCUGAGCUUAACUCAGAACGGCCAAGUGAUACCGCUGUGCUAGAGUGCAGAAGGGGCAAUCGGAAUUCUUGGUGUAGCGGUGAAAUGCGUAGAUAUCAAGAGGAACACCGGUGGCGAAGGCGGCUUUCUGGACAGAUACCGACGCUGAGGCACGAAAGCUAGGGGAGCAAACAGG